AAAGUUUUAUCCUUGCUAUUUAAUUUUUAUAUUUUUAUGCCACAUAUUUAUUUUGUUUCUAGAUGAGCUAUCUUGUAGUGGUUAUUUUUGUUUAUCAAGGCAUUUUGGAUACAGUAAUUUUUCUAUUCCUGGCUAAUUUCGUGCCAGCAGUCGCGGUUAUACGUUUAGGGUUAAGAAUUAUUUUUGGUUAGCAGUAGAUUUUAGGUUUUAUACUAUCUUAUAUUUUAGGUGGAAUUUAUAUUUUUGAAAAAAUUUUUUUUUGUGAUUCUGCGAAACUUGGGAUUAAAACGGGGAUUAGAUACCCCCCUAUAUUAAGUGUUAAUUUAUUUUGCCUGGGUAGUAUUAGUUAAGUUCUUGAAACUCAAAGGAUUUGGCGGUAUCUUAUUCUUUUCAGAGGAGCCUGUUCAGUGAUCGACAAUCCACGAUAGAUUUUACUUUUUUUUGUAUACAGCUUGUAUACCUCCGUCAUAGGAAUAUUUUUUAAGAAGGAAUAUUCUGCUACAAAUGUUUUGUUUAUGUCAGGUCAAGGUGCAGCUUAUGAAAAAGUUGAGAUGGGCUACAAUAGAUAUAUUUAUACGGAUUGCAAAAUGAAAUUUUUCAUUGAAGGCGGAUUUGAAAGUAAAUUGAUUUAUUUAUUUAUUUGAAUGUGGCUCUAAGAUAUGCACAUAUCGCCCGUCGCUCUCAGCAAUAAAUGAGAUAAGUCGUAACAUAGUAGAUGUAUUGGAAAAUGUAUCUAGUAAGAU
Molecule: non-coding RNA, 743 nt
Filed under: Vestalis melania
Lineage: Eukaryota; Metazoa; Arthropoda; Insecta; Odonata; Calopterygidae
Source: RNAcentral